UACGUAGGGACCGAGCGUUGUCCGGAAUCAUUGGGCGUAAAGAGCGUGUAGGCGGCCUUUUAAGUCCUGCGUGAAAUCCUGCGGCUCAACCGCAGACGGUCGUGGGAAACUGGAAGGCUAGAGUGCGGGAGAGGAGACUGGAAUUCCUGGUGUAGCGGUGAAAUGCGCAGAUAUCAGGAGGAACACCGGUGGCGAAGGCGGGUCUCUGGGCCGAUACUGACGCUGAGGAGCGAAAGCGUGGGGAGCGAACAGG
RNAcentral lists this ribosomal RNA (253 nucleotides) under uncultured bacterium. RNAcentral's name for it is "partial 16S ribosomal RNA". It matches the Rfam family "Bacterial small subunit ribosomal RNA", at positions 524 to 776 of the family's 1533-position model. The record is from RNAcentral.